Molecule: ribosomal RNA, 253 nt
Filed under: uncultured bacterium
Lineage: Bacteria
Description: partial 16S ribosomal RNA
Rfam family: Bacterial small subunit ribosomal RNA
Source: RNAcentral
UACAGAGGUCUCAAGCGUUGUUCGGAUUCAUUGGGCGUAAAGGGCGCGUAGGCGGCCCGCUAAGUCGAACGUGAAAUCCCCAGGCUCAACCUGGGAACUGCGUCCGAUACUGGCAGGCUUGAAUCCGGGAGAGGGAUGUGGAAUUCCAGGUGUAGCGGUGAAAUGCGUAGAUAUCGAGAGGAACACCUGCGGCGAAGGCGGGUUGCUGGGCCGACACUGACGCUGAUGCGCGAAAGCCAGGGGAGCGAACGGG